Molecule: long non-coding RNA, 1737 nt
Organism: Daphnia pulex (common water flea)
Lineage: Eukaryota; Metazoa; Arthropoda; Branchiopoda; Diplostraca; Daphniidae
Exons: 3
Source: RefSeq, a predicted model, not a curated record
GUUGGGUGAGAAUGGGAAGUGUUUGCUUCAUUAUCAAGCAGGUAUAAUAGCCGCAAGGCUCAAGAGGUGAGGGUGAGGAAAAAUCGUAUAAAAGGAAGGGAGAAAAGGCUAUGGGAACUCAGUCGAGUGAGCACCUCCGACACGGCAACAACUGCAGCUCACUAUUUGUCACCAACUGCCUUCUUCAAUGUUAUACCGGUUCGCAAUCACGGUUUAUAGUACAGUUAACUAUGGCGCCAUGCUGCUGUUUGGUGUCGCAUGGUUAAUGGUUGGGUCGACCACGGGUGUACCGAUGUCUUCUGGACAUGGUGGAUACCAAGCAACAGCAGCAAAAUAAUAGUACACCACGUCGCCGCCUUACUACACAACAACGUCUAGAUACGCAACAUCUACUUACUACGCCGUGGCUCUCAAGUACUACAGCACGGAGUAUACGUAUACUGUCCCAGCCUACUACACCGAAGUCCCCAAGUACUACACGACUACGAUUGCUGCCCCAUCUUACUACACCGAGGCUCCAUCUUAUUUCAAUACCAAAGCGGUCGAGUACUACACCGAACCGCACGAGUACUACUCUGCCCCGAACUACACAACCACAACUGAGGCGGCCAAGUACUACUUAGCCCAGACUUACAACACAGCAGCUGUUCCUUCCCUCUACGUUUAACUGUAAUACUACACCGAGGAUCCAGUCUACUACACCACAACCUACGCUACACCUAGAUACUACGACGAAGCCCCCAACUACUACUACACCGAAAAGGCCACAUAACAAAGUACACUGCCCCAAUUUACUUCACUAAGUGUAACUCUGCUCCAAGCUACUACCAAACUGAGGCUCCCGUCUACUACACCAGUACACCAAGACCAUCGAGUAUUACACUACAGCCAAAUGUUAACUAUGGUGUCCUGCUGCUGUUGGUUGUUGUUUCCUUGAUGGUCAAGUCGACCACUGGUGUACCGAUGUCUCGGGUGAAUGUGGAUAUCAAACCCCAACGCCGCCGUCUUAUAACACAACAACAUACGCAACAACCGGUUACUUCCCCACCAAUUCUCCAGAGUAUAAUCCAUAACUGAUUAUGCCCCGAACACCGAAGAUACAAAGUAUAACUCUGCCCCGAGUUACACCACCAAGGCACCGGAGUACUACACCACCAAGGCACCGGAGUACUACACCACCAUGUAUGCUGCCCAGCCUUUUACACCGAGGCCUAAGUACUACCCGUUCCCAGCUACUUCACCGAGGCUCCAGCUUAUUACGCUACCAAAGCGGUAAAAAACUACACCGAAGUGCCCUUGUACUACUCUGCACCGAAUUACUAUACAGCGGCUGCUUCCUCGUACUACGUUUGAUCGAAAUACUACACUGAGGUUUCAGUGUACUACACCACAACACACGCUGCCUUCAGCUACUAUAUCGAGACUGCGCUCCCAUACCGAUGCUCCUAAGUACUACACAACCAAGGCACCCGACUAUUAUAUCACUACUUAGGCUGUUCCAACCCACUGCAUCGAAUCUGCGAAGGAUUUCACUGCCCCGAGUUACUACACCAUUAAAGCACCUGAAUGUUAAAUUUAAACCUUCGCUUGUCCAGUUAACUACAUUUAUCCUCUUGAAUACUAGGACCGAAAUUUUUGAUUGAUGUAAUUUUGUUCAGAUUUGUCGGUAAAACUUAAUAAUUCCUAGUUACUUGGAAUCGAUGAUCCUAAAUGAGAAAAUAAAAUUUUUUAUGGUAA